AAGUCGUAACAAGGUUUCCGUAGGUGAACCUGCGGAAGGAUCAUUAUUGAAACAAAACCUUUUUUGGUGGGAAGUUCGCUUCCCUUCCAAUCUCACCCCUUGUGCAUUAUGUAAAACAUGAGCAGCUUUCCCUGGUCUCGAUCAGGGGCAGUUUGACAUUAAACCACUUUUUAAUUGUACCAUCUUCUUGAUGCAUACAACCAGUUAAUUAUAACAAAACUUUCAACAACGGAUCUCUUGGCUU
Molecule: unclassified non-coding RNA, 244 nt
Filed under: fungal sp.
Lineage: Eukaryota; Fungi
Description: partial internal transcribed spacer region
Rfam family: Eukaryotic small subunit ribosomal RNA (bases 1-46)
Source: RNAcentral